AGUAGGAUAGCUGGGUCAAAUAGUGUUACAUUCCAAGUUUUCUAAGCAUUUUCUGUACUGCUUUCCAGAUUAGUUGCACCAGUUUGCAGUCCCACCAGCAAU
RNAcentral lists this microRNA precursor (102 nucleotides) under Marmota monax (woodchuck). Lineage: Eukaryota; Metazoa; Chordata; Mammalia; Rodentia; Sciuridae. The record is from RNAcentral.